Molecule: ribosomal RNA, 372 nt
Filed under: uncultured bacterium
Lineage: Bacteria
Description: partial 16S ribosomal RNA
Rfam family: Bacterial small subunit ribosomal RNA
Source: RNAcentral
UGGGGAAUAUGCACAAUGGGCGCAAGCCUGAUGCAGCCAUGCCGCGUGUGUGAAGAAGGCCUUCGGGUUGUAAAGCACUUUCAGCGAGGAGGAAGGUGGUGAACUUAAUACGUUCAUCAAUUGACGUUACUCGCAGAAGAAGCACCGGCUAACUCCGUGCCAGCAGCCGCGGUAAUACGGAGGGUGCAAGCGUUAAUCGGAAUUACUGGGCGUAAAGCGCACGCAGGCGGUUUGUUAAGUCAGAUGUGAAAUCCCCGGGCUCAACCUGGGAACUGCAUUUGAAACUGGCAAGCUAGAUCUCGUAGAGGGGGGUAGAAUUCCAGGUGUAGCGGUGAAAUGCGUAGAGAUCUGGAGGAAUACCGGUGGCGAAGG